UGGGGUGUGGCUCAGCGGUAGAGCACUCGCCUAGCACGUGGGAGGCACCGGGUUUGAUCCUCAACACCACAU
RNAcentral lists this transfer RNA (72 nucleotides) under Marmota marmota marmota (Alpine marmot). It matches the Rfam family "tRNA". From Rfam's summary of the family: Transfer RNA (tRNA) molecules are approximately 80 nucleotides in length. Their secondary structure includes four short double-helical elements and three loops (D, anti-codon, and T loops). Lineage: Eukaryota; Metazoa; Chordata; Mammalia; Rodentia; Sciuridae. RNAcentral also lists the same sequence under 1 other name. The record is from Rfam by way of RNAcentral.